RNAcentral lists this small RNA (896 nucleotides) under Vigna angularis var. angularis. RNAcentral's name for it is "Non-protein coding transcript". The record is from RNAcentral. Lineage: Eukaryota; Viridiplantae; Streptophyta; Magnoliopsida; Fabales; Fabaceae.
AGGACACUUGAACCUUGGGAGGGGCUCUUUCCUUGCAAGUCAGAUUUCAUUUUACAGAUUUCUCUCUCUCUAGAACAGAAACCUUGCCCUAACUCAAGUGCUCUGACUUCUCUCUAGGUUUCCAGCCAUUUCCACCGAUUGAAUCCUAAUUUGGUGGUGUUUUCUUGUUCAUGGAGUCAAGAGCUACGAAACCAUCCGAUUGGUUUUGCGUUCCAGCGGGUUCUGUACAGUUUCGCACGGUGUAGGGGUAGUGUUAGAGCAUCUGUGAACUGUGUUGAGCAACCCACCAGGUGAGGGUUAUAACUGUGUUAUAACUGGUGUACUCUUGUGAAACUGUGUUAUAACUUUUAUUGUAUUGAGUGUUAUAAUUGAAACUGUGGAAUUGUGCAUGUUGUGAUAUGGUUAUUUUAAUCUGUUUCAAAUGAGUUGGUUGGCUGAGAUUGUUCUGGUUUGAGAGUUUGGAGUAAGAUUCUGUAAUGGCAUUGAUAUGGGUAGUAAGUAGGUAUACAUACAUUGUUUUAGAUUACCGUGAGAGGAAAUAAUAUAUAUAAAAAAAAAUGGCAAUUGAGAUUUAGAGCACAACAAAUUAGUUUAGGUAACUUAAAUAAAUUAAUUAAAAUUGGUUGAGAGCCUUUCUUUGUUGGUAGGAUAGAGGGGACUUAAAAACCUGAGUUGGCACAUCCCUGAUCAUAGAGCAGCCUUAACCUGGUCCAGUCAGUUGUAACUAGUCAUAUGUGCUAGCGUCGAAGGUGAGUCUGAUGCGUUCAGACAUCUGAAUCCUCUCCGGUGACCAAUUGGGUAGCAAUGUGAAGUGGAGAACAAGUAUUUUGUGGUAAUGAAAAAUUUAGCAAGCAGUUUCAUAAUUAAGGGAACAUUGUAAGUUAUUUAGAGAUAAU